This 425-nucleotide ribosomal RNA is filed under the name Pseudomonas sp. Its description in RNAcentral is "bacterial SSU rRNA". It matches the Rfam family "Bacterial small subunit ribosomal RNA", at positions 86 to 507 of the family's 1533-position model. Lineage: Bacteria; Pseudomonadati; Pseudomonadota; Gammaproteobacteria; Pseudomonadales; Pseudomonadaceae. The record is from RNAcentral.
UGAAUUCCAGCGGCGGACGGGUGAGUAAUGCCUAGGAAUCUGCCUGGUAGUGGGGGACAACGUUUCGAAAGGAACGCUAAUACCGCAUACGUCCUACGGGAGAAAGUGGGGGAUCUUCGGACCUCACGCUAUCAGAUGAGCCUAGGUCGGAUUAGCUAGUUGGUGAGGUAAUGGCUCACCAAGGCGACGAUCCGUAACUGGUCUGAGAGGAUGAUCAGUCACACUGGAACUGAGACACGGUCCAGACUCCUACGGGAGGCAGCAGUGGGGAAUAUUGGACAAUGGGCGAAAGCCUGAUCCAGCCAUGCCGCGUGUGUGAAGAAGGUCUUCGGAUUGUAAAGCACUUUAAGUUGGGAGGAAGGGUUGUAGAUUAAUACUCUGCAAUUUUGACGUUACCGACAGAAUAAGCACCGGCUAACUCUGUG